Eucalyptus grandis is the source of this 713-nucleotide long non-coding RNA. RefSeq lists it as uncharacterized. The transcript has 2 exons. The record is from RefSeq and is a predicted model, not a curated record. NCBI's taxonomy places the organism in Eukaryota, Viridiplantae, Streptophyta, Magnoliopsida, Myrtales, Myrtaceae.
GGCUGCGUGAGCGGAGGGGGUGCUCGAAACAGGUGGAGGAGAGCAUGCUCAACGAUCUACAGAGUUUCGCUUGCACGACAAGGAAGAGAGGAUGGCGUCGGCCAUGGGAGGAGAGAGAGAGAGAGGGUGCUCGCUCGAGGAUAGAGGUAAGCAUGGAGGCGUCGAGAGCAGGAGAGCAGGGAGGAGGCCAUUUUUGUGUGACGGAAUCGUUUUUGGGAGGGUUCUCUGGUUCUAGUUCAGAGGGAAGCAACGUUCGACCAUCGGAGAAUCCCUUUUUCAUUGAGGGGGCUCGCUGAUUUGGAGCGAAGAAGAAACUUCAUCUCCAGAGUUCACCGCCGAAGUUUUUGAUCAAGGGUCAAGCCGUAAACUAUGCUUCGUUCAUUGGAUGUUGAAUAUCGGGCGAAAGCUGUUGUUGUUCAUCAUUGGCAGAAGUAGAAGCCUAACCAGGCACUUGCUUCCGAGAUGCUUUUAUCUCUCUGUUUUCUUUGACCGAGUGGGGUAUUUUGACUCAAUCGAUGAUCUCGAGAAAACUGUGACGAGACGAAGCUGUUUUGUUGUUAAUGAUAGUGAUCCAGGUCUGAUGCCUGUCAUCGUUAUUCGUUAGGCUAGGAACGGUUUAAAAAUCAAACCGAAAAAUCAUUGUUAAUGCUGCUCAUUACGUGCUCGAUGAAAUGUUCCAAAGAGUGCUGAAAGUUGAUGCGUGUUCCGACUCA